This is a long non-coding RNA of Frankliniella occidentalis (western flower thrips), 465 nucleotides long. RefSeq lists it as uncharacterized. The record is from RefSeq and is a predicted model, not a curated record. The transcript has 3 exons. NCBI's taxonomy places the organism in Eukaryota, Metazoa, Arthropoda, Insecta, Thysanoptera, Thripidae.
GACGACGGCAUCCUACAACACAACUCCCAUCGUCCGAUCAUCAUCUCGGAAGAACCGAGUGCUCCGUCAGCACAGCAGGUACUUGUUGUGCGGGUCCGGGGUGCACGAGCGGGACUGAGUAUCGACCCGAGCUGCAGAGCAGUUGUGUGCGCCACUCAACCUGUCCCCCUCCAUCUCUGAUGCAACCCGGUCUGGGGGUUGUAUCAGCCCCGGAGGAGUAUAUAAAUCGCUCGAUUGCUUUGUUUUUCUUUCCUCCUCUCGCGUUCCUACUCCCUCUUCGUGAAUCUGACACGGUUCGCAUCUUCCACGCCGAUGACAACGACAUAAAAAAACGGAGAUGGUAAAGAAAAAAAAAGGCGCAGAGGACGGAGCGCGGACCCCGCGUGUGUGUGAAGCUCCAGCUCCUCCUCCAGCUCCUGGAACGUCACACUCUAAAUGUCAAGGGACAAUUUUGUCCGUAGAUUU